RNAcentral lists this ribosomal RNA (484 nucleotides) under uncultured bacterium. RNAcentral describes it as "partial 16S ribosomal RNA". It matches the Rfam family "Bacterial small subunit ribosomal RNA", at positions 30 to 507 of the family's 1533-position model. The record is from RNAcentral.
AUUGAACGCUGGCGGCAGGCCUAACACAUGCAAGUCGAGCGGCUGAAGGGUGCUUUCUCCUGGAUUCAGCUGCGGACUGGUGUGUAAUUCCUAUGAAUCUGCCUGGUAUUUGUUUAUAACGUCCGUUAACGGGCGCUAAUACCCCAUACGUCCUGAUGUUGAAAUUGUGUUUUCUUCGUACCUCACGCUAUCAUAUGAGCCUAGUUCGGAUUAGCUAGUUGGUGGGGUAAAGGCCUACCAAGGCGACGAUCCGUAACUGGUCUGAGAGGAUGAUCAGUCACACGGGAAAGGAGACACGGUCAAGAAGACGACGGGAGGAAGCAGUGGGGAAGAUUGGACAAGGGGCGAAAGCAUGAUACAGAAAAGACGAGUGUGUGAAGAAGGUAGUAGGAUUGUAAAGAACUGUAAGGUGGGAGGAAGGGAAGUAAGUUAAAAAAUGGAUGGAUUGACGGUAAAAAAAGAAUAAGCACCGGCUAACUACGUG